AACAUGUCAGCUCUUGUUCUAUACACUUGUAGACGAUAGAAGAGAUUAUAAAAAAGAGUCUCUCUGAGACCAUGGCCACUUGCAGUUGCACAAAACAAGUUUUUACUGUCAAUAUUGAUCAUAUUCACAGCGUAGCCAAGAAAGCCAGGUGGACACUCCCCAGUGGGUAAUCGCGGCUUCCAAAGAUCAAGCCUCCUCUGUGGGUCAUCAACCACAAAUUCACCAGCAAAAGGUCUGGAAAAACGAAGUGUUCUCAGAAUGUUUAAACAUUGAAAGUUCUUAGAAAGUCCACAUCAUUAAUAAAUCAUAAAAAGACUCGUGCCUCAAAUUUUCAAGGCAUAUGACAAGAAACCGGCCAUCUAUAGCCCUCCCAAUAGAAGCACCAAGCCCAUGAAGACCAGAACUUUUGAUAAUGUGGCCUUCUUUAUCGUAUGUUUCCAGAGCCUUAACACAUUCAAAAGUCUUGCAGACAAUCGCCAGCAUAGUGUCCACUCCUAAGUACUCCGAUAAAAGACUGCACUCGAGAUAACAAGAAAAACAAAUAAAGGAUGGUGAAAAAGUAAUAAUAUUCACGUUGUCACAACUUCCCUCAACACUCAGCCCACAACCUAAACAGAAACGUGACUCUUUGACACCAUCAACCUAUCUUUGUGGCAAUGCAUCAAUUAAAAUCACUGACCAUUCAGAAGCACAUGACACAGUAACGCCAUGUAAGCUUUAUGUAUAAAAUCUAAAUGAUAAUAAAUCAUUAAUGACAAGAAGCAGCAAUAUAAGCAAAUUAUAAAAAGGAAAAUGAAGCUAAAAAUAAGCCUAUCUAAAAGCACAACCACAAAUGCAGAAAGAUGAGCAAACAGUACAAGAUCCGACUGACCUGCUAAGAUUCUCAUCCUCAAGUUGGCCAAGUGAAGCAACAAUACCAAGGACAUCUUUGGUGAAUGUAAGAUGAGAUGCCUGAGUGCAAUGGCGUGUUUUCAGCUGACACAAAACACCUGCAGCAGAUUUCUCAUGCUGAAGAAUCUGUCCUGUUGUUUCCUCCUCAUUUUGAUGGUUGGAAUGGUCCUCAUUAUCGACUUUUGCAGAAUGAUACUUCCCAAGAUUAACUGGAUGAAAACUUAUCAGAAGCAGACAAAUACAGAAAUCAAAGUGCAUCAUUUAUACCAAAACCAGAAAAAGUCCAAAAGUUUUAAGUUGAUGCCAAGUAACUAUAAACAAUUGCCACCUUAAGUCAAAAAUCUUUUAUACAACAUCUUUAGAACAUAAUUACUUAAACUUAGUGACAAAGUUUACCACCUAGCUUUUAGAUAAAAAAGAUUAUGGAGAAAGAUCAACACAAACGACAGGAUAUAGUACUUGCAAUCUCAGGGUGCAUGGUCAAUGCUCUUUACCAGUUCCGAGCAAGAAUUCCUAAAUUCUUGACCCAGCAGUUAUGGGGUAACUUAUAGUAGAAAGGACACACUGCAGAAGCGAUGAUAAAUGUCGUUCUAGCAUACGUCUCAAAUACACAAGGAAAAAUAGCUCUCAAAGAGAGAAAACGUCAAAUUAAUAACAAAGAUACACCCAAAGCAGAAUAAUCUGAAAUAUUAUUAAUGAAAGGUAUAAAAAGUAUUAUAUACAAAAACCAUAAUUUCUAAUACAUUUUUUCCAUAUGCUUCCUACAUCAAGAAACUUAAAUAUCCUAUAAGAUGACAGUUAAAAGAAUGUCAAUCAGACAUUUAUCCAAAGCUCCUGAAGUUUAUUCUUAUAAAAUUUGGGGACGGCUCAUUUCACCUACAGUUUGAAGCAGGGAGCCAAUGUUUUGUUUUCAUUUCAUUUAUUUUGCAAAGCUCAAUAAUGACUUAAUUUACAUUGACAUAUGUAGUAGAUGAAAAGAAGUAAUAUACCUUGCAAGUCAAGAAUAGAAUCCCCUAACUUGAGGCUUUGGCUCUUCAAAAGUUUAAUAUGGUCCUCGUGCUGCUUAAUUUUCAGGCCUAUCAUUUGUAGAUCGUCUUGAAGUCUCUACAGAGAUUGCUUUAUUGCAAAGUCAGUUCAUUAUUGUAUGAAUAACGUGAUAAAAUAACAUAAACAACUACUUUUAUCUCAUAAUAUAAUAUCAAAAGUGUCUGUUCUUUCUUUAGUUUCUCUUCUUUUUUUCCCCUUCCUCCUGACAAUAGAUAGCAAGAUAAAAUCUAAAUCUAAUUCCAAAUUUACUUUCUGGUACAACCUUAGAAUUGUAAAUGACCAAUUCUGUUCCUCCAUUUUGCAUUCCAUCCCUUGCAACUACAGAGUUUUCAGUUUGAUCCACUUGCAUUGAUGCUGAUGAAUCGUCAACCAAUACUGCAUUUGUUUGAGCUGAAAGCUGCAAUAAUAGGGUUAAUUCGUAUUUGCAGAUACCAUUUCACCACACAAACAUCACAGAUGAAAAUAAGAAAACAAACGCCAAAAAAAAGCCCAAAUUGUAAAGGAUAAGAUGAUUCCUACUUAUAAGUUAAUUACAAUUUCACUCUACAUUGAUGCAUGAAUAAUUCAUAUCAGUAUGAAAUACAAAUGUACAAACAAGGAACAGCUGGCUGCUUUCAUGGAGCAUUCAUAAUCAAAUAGCAUUUUAGUCAUUGGAAUUUGACAAUAAAAAGGCAAACUUCAUACAUGCGGUGUGGCCGGAAUCAUGUGAGCUUGUAGGUCAGAUGAGGAAUCCAUGGCAUGUCAAAGAUCUUUCCACAUUCCUUCACUUUCUAGUCCUCUUGUCCUAUACAGAAUCAUCCCAAAAAAAAAAACUUUGUCAAAAUCAAGAAAAAGUUUUUUUCUAGUAAAUUUCCAAGGAAAGAAAAAUGGGUAAAAAAAAAAAGAUUCAGUGCUUACUGAACUGGUUGGUGAAGCUCCUUGGUUUUCCCUACAAUGGCCGUCGUUUUCCGGCCAUCGGAGAUACUACGGCGGCUUCGAGGCGACACGGCGGUGACCAAGGACGUUCACGGCCAGCAGCAGAAUCGGUGGUUGUGAGUUGUGUGAGACCUGAGUUCGAAAUGGGAAAAGACUACUGCCUAGGGUUAGUAUACUGAAAUUGGGAUUCCAUUAUUUUUAUUUUCAAGGUGUUGGUGUGUUUUAAAUAAUUAUUUAUGAACCACCAAUCACGCGUGAACAAGUGGUAGAAUAAAGAGAGUGGUUAUUUGUACCCACCAUUAAAUUAAGGCCUGUACUAAGUUACGCUGAGCGUAACUUGCGCCUCUCACAGCAAUAGUAUUCGAUUUUAUUAGCGGUAUUAUUACUGUAAAAGGUUCCGCUCAACGUAACUUAGGACCUCCCUUAAAUUAAUAAGUUAAAUAAUUUAUUAUAAAAUAAUGCUGAAUAGUUAAAUUUUUAUCUUAAAUAAUAUGUUGUUUAUUAAUUUAUUGAUAAAAUAAUACAAUUAGUUUAUUCAAAUAUUAUAAAGAAUAUAAUAAAUAUCAUAUUAUUUAUGGGAUAGUUUUUUUUUUUUUGAAUUCUGUUAUACAUAUAUUGUUACUGAUAUUACAUCAGACAUUAUAAUUAUAAUAUUUACAAUCGUACUAAAUAACUGAGACCACUGCCAUACAUUAACCUACUGAAGCAUUUGCCCAAAUAUUUUAAAUCAUCUCUAAUAUUCGAAGGGUAUCUACUUCACUCACAUUUCGUAAGUGAGAGACUGUCUUUACUUAAUUAGUUGAUAAUUGAGGAAUAUCUGAAACUAACCUCCAUAAUAUUCUUAUGAAGGUUCGAACCUUACACUCAAUAUUAUAAGUGGAAUGCUUCUCCCAUUAGACCAAAAGCGCAUUGAUUAUGGGAUAGUUAUUUAAAAUAAAUAAUUUGAGAUAUUUUACUCCUUAUCGUAUCAAUUCAUGCGAAUAUGUUAAAAUCUAAUAAUCAAAUAUUAACUAAAACAUACAUAUCUGUGAUUAAAAUUGUACUAGCAUUGAUUUUUCCCUCCAUAAAGCCAACGUAUCUCGUGAUCAUGUGACAGUGUGUUAUGAAGUAAGAUUAAUACCGAGUAAAUGAGAAUAACUUAAGUCGAAUGGCAUGUGGAGACGGGUCGAAAGAGUAAAACUCUCUUAUUCAAUUAUAUUUUAUUUUUCCUAAUUAAUUUGCUUUAAGUGCAUUUUGAUAAUAAUAGAUAUUUUUUAAAUUGAGUUUAAUAAGUAGUGAUGUGGAUCAAAUGACGGGGCGUCGAUUUUUCCGACUUAAAACCAAUUGCCGAACUAGUAACCCUGCAAAUUGGACUGAAUCGAUCCACAACAAAAAAAAAGAUAAAAUAAAAUAAAUAAAUUUCAAUUAUGUACUUGCCUCCUGAACCAUUGGACUUAAAAGUCAACAAAUAAUAUUUAAUCCACAAUCAUAAAUUUGUGUCGGAAUCUCAAGUAAAAUUCAAGUUAAGUAACCCUGUUUAUGUGCUUGUUUUCAAUCAGAACUCUCGGCUCAAUAAAAAUUUACAAUAAUCAUAUUGAUGAACAGCUAAAUAAACAAUGGGACUUCAUUCCCAGUACAAAUUAUAAGAGCUAGAGUCAAUAAUUCAUGAUAAAAUUGUUCAUCUAUGGUAUCACAAAUUGCCACAAAAGAAAUAAAAUAUUUCACAAACUCUGUGUGAGCUAAACAUCCCAUGAAUCCAACCAAUUCGACCUCCCUAAUGCUCAGUUCACAUGACCGAUACUUACAGGUCUCUGCCAAUCCAAAUGGGGGCUGUACCUAUAAUACCUGAGAUUAUUGGACAAAAGCCCGUCAUGUCAAAAAUGUACAGAGUAUAAAACAACAUAUUCUAAGAAUUUACAUGUCGUAAUAAUAUUUUCAACAACAAAAUGAGAGAACAUUCAUCUUCAGUGUAAAAUCUAUAUAACGGUCGACAUGCUUUCAAGAAAGCAGUACGAGGAAGGACAGUAAUUAGAUAACAAAUGUUCAAGAACCUCUCAUGCUGCAGCUACAUUCAUCAAACGUAGGGCCAUAAGAGAGCUGAAGCUAGAAUAACUAUCAAGAUGGGUGAGAGAAUAUUGGUCAACAUUACAUGAAUAAUUCCGAAUCUACUAAAGUCCAACUCAAGCCUUUGAACUCUCUUUUCUACUGCAAACUUUGAUCCAAGUAUGAACAUCAACAUCUAUAGGAUGCCACAUCAGAACAAACAAUUAACUCUUCCAUAGCAUGACCUUGAAGUGAACUCAAAGCUUGAUUGACCCCACUAUCAAACUUAUGCCUUUCUAGAGCAAGUGGCUCACUUCCUAAACCCAAUUUCCAUUCAUAGUCCGUCAUUAGGAGGGGAUUGCCAAAGUUCAAACAACCAGAAAACCACUUCCAUAAACAUCUCAAUCUAUGCUGGUCGUAACUGCUUCUUUUAUAGUCAAGCAAGACAAGACAUUUACAAGCCACUUGGACUUGUAGUUCAGUAGUGAACCAUUACCCUUAAAGUCAAGCAUGACUAUGAGGGCAAUGGUUCGAAUUUUCACGGACUCAACCUCCCUCAAUUAAAUAUAAUUGUGUGAAGAUUACUUGUAACGUCUUUCUCUCUUGCGAAAUGCAAGUGGAGCAGAGACAUCCCUCCUCCGUGAGGGAUAUUUGGCCGAACAUGUAUUUCAUAGAAUAAAAAUAUAAUAAUGUAAGUUCCAAGUAUAUAUCUGAUUGUAAAUAUCAGUGUAAUGAUCUGUUGUCAUAACAGUUGUAAAUAUAUGUAUAGUAUAAUAACCUGAUGCUUAACCAGUUAAAAAAAUAAAAAAGACAAGACAUUUGCAAGAAUAUCUUCUUAGAGUUUGCUAUAUUGAUCAUCAACACAAUUAUAAUCUUGCUGGACCUCAGUUUUGCUGCCACUGAUUCUGGGCCCCUGACUUUGGUGCGUCACCUAAUUAGAGUAUGAACCAUAGACGUCAAUUCUAAAAGAGGGAUCCAAAAGAAGGAUGGAGAAUUAGUAUAAUGAAUGUAAUUCGGACUCUCUUUUUUUUUUUUUUUGUAAUAAACGUUAAGAGGAAACUAAAUAAUUCAUGGCUGAUAUGAUGCGUGGCAUCUUUUGGAAUAAAUGACCUUGGGGAAUUUACAAUAAACAAUCUCAAUUGAAAUUUGAAAAGAAUCAAGAGGGUAAUACAAAAGCGCCUUCAAAAGAGAAGGCCAUCAAGUUAAGAGUAACCAAGUUUUUUUGCAUUUGACAGUGACGCGAACAUGCACUCUGACAACGACACCAACUCUCCAUCCAUCCAUCACCAUCAAAGCCAAAUGCCUCAAAUUCCACUACAUUUCCUGCAAGCCAUUUUUAGUUUCAUCUUUCUAAUUUAUUACAAUGUACACAAUAUGAAAACAAAGAAGUAUUUCAUUAUAUUUUGAUGAAUCAUAGAAAGGAGGAAAAAAAAAAUGGCUCCAUUCCCAGUAAAAGUGUAAAACCAGAAGAAUAGUGAAUGAACUCACAAGUCCCAACCCACGUCCCACGCCAGAAAAUAAUUCAAGAUUAUUUUACAUGUCUAUGGUAUCACAAAAUCCCACAAAGGAAAUCUAGCUCCCAACUCAAUAGCAUGCUUUCUAGCAGAAUGAUACUCCUCACUGUCCCUAUACAGUAAUUCCUUUGGAGUCCCCAAAUACUUAGGUAUACAAGGAUCAAUAAUUAUCUUCUCUAACAGUUUGGCUUUCUCGAUCAAAUACAUCACAAACUCAGUUUCAGCUCUCUGCCCCUCGAAUCCUACCAAUUCGACCACCCUAACGCUUAAUUCACAGACUGAUAAAUACGGAUGAUCCUUGACAGUCCGCGCUGUUCCAGAUGAGGGAUGUACACGAAAUAGCUGAGACAAGAAAAGACAGCAGUAUCAUAGUUAGGCAUAGAUACACAAAUCAAACUUGAAAUAUAUAAACGGAAAUGGUAAACAAGAUUCUUAACUAAUUAAAGUAAAAAGGAAAAAACAUUUCACCUUCAGUGUAAAUUUAUACAAUGAAGGACAUGCCCUCAAGAAAGCAGCACAAGGAAGGAGACGAUCAUCAUCAAAUAAAUUGAUUUCCAUUUCCAAAUGCUUGAGAUUACAUAAUUCAGGAAGAUCAUAGGGGACUGCCUCAGGUACCUGAAAAAUUUUGAUGAAAAUGUAACACAAGCACAUCGAAAUAAAUAAAAAUGAAAAACAAAAUAAAUGAUCAAUAACAAUACUAGUUAUUUGUAUUAAGGAAAGGGGGAAAAAGCACACUUACACUCACAAAAGCUAGGUUCAACUUAAGUGUGUGUAGUUGCAGAAGAAUGGUUGAAAGCUGGCGGAGUUUAUUCAUGAUGUAGGUGCAAAAGAAUCGAUCAAAAGAUACCUCAGUAAGAUUUGGAACAUCUCUAAAAAAAACAAUUCCUGAUCCAGAAUAUUCAAAAGAUAUGAUAUUUGGUGCAUCAAUUUCAACAUACUGCAAGAGCACAAGAUGUAACUUUAAGUACUUCAACCUGAGUGAUGGACCAGAAACUUUAAGACUAGUGAGACAUGGUGAGUGGAUUACGGUUAACACCUCAAGAAAAUGACAGCAAGAUAACAAAUGUUCAAGAGCUUCUCCUGUCACAGCUACAGUAUUCAAACUGAGGGCUGUAAGAGAACUGAAGCUAGAAUAACUGUCAAGAUGCGGUGAAAAAGUGUAUUCGGCAACAGGCCAUGAAAAAUCUUGUACCCUAGAAAAGUCCAAAUCAAGCUUCUGAACUUUCUUUUCUACAGCAAAAUUGAUCCAGUUAUGAAUAUCCCCAUUGGAGGCAACAUCAAAACAAAUCCUUAACCCUUCCAGAGAGUGACAUUGAAGUGAUCUCAAAACUUGAUUGACCCAACUCACAAACUUGUGUCUUUCGACAUCGAGUGGCUGACUUCCCAAACCCAAUGUCCAGUUAUAGUCCCCCAUAGUGAGUGGAUUGUCAAAGUUCAAACAACCAUUAAACCACUUCCAUAGAUAUCUCCAUCGACUUGAUAAUAUGCUGGUUCUAGCUGCUUCUUUAAUAGUCAAGCGAGACAAGACAGUUACAAGAAUAUCAUCGGGGAGUUCGCUAAUGCGAUCAUAUAGGCAAGUGUAAUCCUCUCUCCUUUUUCUCUUAUUGCAAGGCAGAAGCCAAGUCGUGUCUGAGAGAAUUAACCAAAACCCAACAAAUUAAAUUAGCAAUUGAAAAGCAAAUAAUAAAUAAUUUAACCCAGAAUGAGUAAUAUAGCCGGCAGUCUAACCUGUGCAGUGGGAGAGAGUCUCCACCUCGCUCCUAAGAGAGAAUUUUAAAAACAGUAAGUCCUCAAAAAAAAAAAAAAAAACUAAAAUCAUAAACAUCACACACACAUAUAUAAAGACAUUUCAUAAAAUUUCCUCUAUUGCUUUUCUUUUAUGCGCUGGCAAAAUCCCCAAAUCAAACACUUUGUCAGCCUAGGGCAUCUAUGACUCCUUCAUUAUGGAAAAAGGGGGAAAAAAAAGAAAAAGACAAAGGUUUACUGAAUACUUACCUCAGCAAUUUCGAUUUUGAAUUUCUGGCAAUUUCUCGGCAUUCGGAGCUCAUGACUCCUUGGCAAUUUUUCAUCUUGUUCAGCAAAAUAAAAUAAAAUCAAAAUCGAUGAAUAUCUACGAUAAUGAUUCGUUCCUUCUUAUGUAAUAUUUGUUUGCCACUUACUCUGAGUCCUUACUGUAAUAGGAUAUUUUGUUGUUUUUAAGUGUGAAGGAAUACGGUUGCAAGUUUCAUAACUGGUUGAAAAAAUAAAAUAAUAAAAGAGUAGUGUUGUAAGACAUUCUAAAAAAUUAUAAGAUAAGUAAUUUAUUAAUUCAACCAUACGUGUGUGAUGAUAAUGCAAUUUAUUAUGAAUUAUGAUAGACAACUCAAUUUUUUUUAUUUUAAAUUUUAUUUUGAAUAAUGUAUUAUUUAUUAAGUAAUUGAUAAUUUUUUAUAAUAUUUAAGUGAAUUAAUUAUAUAAUUUCAUCAAUGAAUAUCACAUUAUAUGGGACAAUUUUUGUGAUAAAAAAAUUGAGAUGUAUACACUCACAUUAUAUGAGAUAAUUUUUUUAAUAAAAAAAUUCAAAUGUAUAACAUUAUUCUUUAUUUAUUUAGAGUUUAUAAAAUAUUUAUCAUUCAAUAAAUAAGUUUAUGCACUUAAAUUUUACAAAUUUAUCAAUUACUCAAUAAAUAGCACAUGAAAUAUCACAUGACAUGUCAUAUGGUGUCUUAUCAUCACUUUUCUUUUUAGAUAUAUUAUUUAUAUCUCAUCAUCUUAGAGGAGGAUGCAAAAUUCAAAUCCCACCCUCUAAUGUUCAUUUUAACUUGGGGGGUAGACUCUCCCAAAUUUAUUCCACAGCAACAUAAGGCAAUUUGGGUCAUUAUCACUAAUUAAAAUCCCCUAAGCCACAGAAUCUUACUGGAAAAGAAAACAAUUUCAUGUCUUCCCCUGCAAGCCAAUGAUUGAUUUUAUCAACGCAGAUGCACGGUCCAUAAGAACUAAAAAUACGAUAACUUAUAGGUAUACAUUCACUUUUACAUGGUAAAAAAAAAAAAUAAAUAGACUCAUUAAUUGAUUGGAUUGUAUAAUAGUGAUUCUGGGCCUAGCAAUUUAGUUGCACAAAUAGCUUCUAACUGCAAUUGAUGUUGAAUCACCACAUCACCAGCACUAGUAACUGCUUAACUUCAAACUAUAUCCUUAAUCACAAGACUAAACGGGCAGCAGGCCGUACAAGGCCGUAGUUGAUUCCCAAUACUGAUAGCAAUUAAGACAUUUUAUCCGUUUUGCUGAACUAUUCUGGUCAUUCCCGUGGUUGGUGGUCUUUUUAUGCCCACAUCGACCACACAUGUAUCUCGUUGAAUGGUAAAUUGGACCCAGGUACCCUCCCUUCCAGGGCAGGUACCUGUCAGAAGCUCUCUCUUUUUUGAUCUGUUGAUUUAAGCGCCGGCUUCCAUCACUAACCAUUUCUUCCGAAGACAUUUUGAUCAGUGCCUCUGGCUUGACAUGCCCAAGAAGAACUUUUCUACGGAAAUCUGGGUUUUCUGGAUCCAUGAGAUUAAACAAUAUAGAUCUAUACUUAACCUCAUAGGUUCCAAAAGAGUGGCCCCACUUUUCAAACAUUAGAGACUCUGCUGUAAUAGCAACUCGAAUUGGAUCACAUCCAUUCAAUUUAUCUUGAACUUCUUCAUCAACCUCACCAGAAACCUUGGACAAUGCCUUGUAAAGUUUUUCCCUUAUCCUUUCCCGAAAGUAAUCAUUGCAUUUAAUCAUAGAAACCAACUUCUGUGGAACAACAGCAGAAGCUGGCUUCUCUUCUCUAAUCGCUUCGGCAUCGACAUUAUCCAAUGAGUUGGUUUCCUCAGUCACAAUGAAUUCCGAUCCUACCAGUUUCUUGGAUCUCGGUGCACCCUUCUGAUCAACUCUUCGAACCUUGACAACUUCAACAUCCAAAGCCUGUUCAAACUCAUCAGAAGUGAUCUGCCGCUUGCCCUUGGCAAUCUCUACAUUUGCAGACUUGAUCUCACCACAGAUUGCAAAGCUUCCAUUUUCCUCAUCUCCUUUCAUUUGCUCAAGGAACAAGCUUCUCCAUGACAAAAUCAGUUCAGAAGCCGUAUCCUGGAUUUUCUGCCUUGGAUGUUUUGUCAGCGGUAGAAGAUGCCUUACAAGCUGAAAUAAUUUGCACAAGGAGCUAAGUAAAAUAAAAUAACUAAAAUUCCAGCAGGUGCAAACUAGCCAUGCAAUUAGUCUAUCAGUCUAUGCAAAAUGUUAAUAAAGUUGCAUAAAGUAACAUGCCAAUCUUUGAAAUAUUGUUUCUUCCCACAGAGGCCAUUUAGCAUGUCAGACUGUGCAGUAAAAUCUUUGUCCAACUGCAUUGUAUCGUGUUGGCAUCUUUGUUCUACGAAAAAUACUAGAUGGACCUGUCCAAUGACCAUUAUAAACCUCUUAAAAGACCUGUAAACUCCAAACACACUACUACCAAGUGCACUCCCACAUCAUCAAAAAAAUAACCUCAACAAGAUCACUCUCAUUACCCAUUUGAUUUCAUACAACUCCCCGCAUUUACACCCGCUUCCAUAUCCAAUCAAAUAGUCAAACUCUGUAUCACAUGGUCGAUCUAAGUAUAUUUCUUGGAAUGCCAUCUUAAAUGGGUUAAUCUUUGUACAAAUGAUAGGAGAGAUCAAGUAAUUCACAAACAUAUUAGAUGCAAGGUGAAAACAUAGAACCUAACAUGCAUGACAUAACAAGCAAACUAAGUAUACAUAUGGAGAGUGAGUAACACAACACCUGCGUGGAAACAAGAAGUUGACAGGUGAUGGAAGACUUGUGGAGCUGAUCCAAUGCCGCAAUGCACUGUGCUUCCUCCAACUCUCCUUCUGCGGAUGCUGCUGUCUCUGCCCUUCUUUUUGCUGCUUCACACAACUCCAUGACCUCUUUCUCCAUUGCUAUUUGUUCAGCCUGUUCAAUUUAAAGGAGCAAAGCAACGAAAAGCCAAAAUUACAAAAACAAUUUGUGGAUAUAUAUAUAUAUAUAUAUAUAUAAAUACUAUAACAGAAAAAAAAAAGCAAUUCAUUCGAUAGUAAAAACACAAAAUUCUUCUCCCAAAAAAAAAAAAAUUCCUUAUUGCCAAGAAGUAAACUUGGUUUUAAAUCAUAAAUUUUGUUUAUUACUAAUUGUAGAAACAAACGAAACUGCAGCUAAUUGAUCUUAUUGUUCUACGUAUAGCAACAACGGAACAGAAGAAAAAAAAAAGUGGUAUUGUUAUACACACACACACACACUAUAACAAUACCGAAAUAAAGUGGUUGUCGGCGGUAGCGAAGACGGCUUACGGAUGAUGGCAGCUGGCAAGGCGUGCGAUAUGCUAGAGCCGGCCAGUUAUUGCUGACGGCGAGCGGCGUGUUGGGAUUGCAGGGGAAAUAUUUGCAGAGUUUUUAUUUAUUUUCUUAUUUGUUAUUUCUCUUUUAUUCUGUUUCUUUUCUAAUAACAAUACGUAUAGGAUACAACACAACGGCCAACGCAGAUAUGUCGACUCUACCCCCUACCGAGCAGCACAAGCAACAAGAAGAACGUCAAUUUUGGUAGAAUUAAUGACACGUGACGUUAAUGAAAACAUUGGUAAUUGUUAGAGACCUCCCCUGAGGUUUAGGAAAUUAACACGUAAAUAGAAAGUAUUGAUAUAAUUACAGACACUUCCGUUGCUGUUAGAUGCUAGUUAGUUUGACUGUCAGUAGACUAUUAAAAUUACUAAAAUGUCCCUACUGUCAAGAUAAUAAAUUAUUAAAUAAAGUUUUGGGAACUGAUGGGUAAUAAAAUUCCCUCUAGAAUCACAAAAUAUAGAAAAAGACCAAAUUAACCAUCUAUAUCCUCUCUAAUGUAAACAACACAUUAAACUCAAGGAGAACCCGUCUUCUAUGCAAUGGCUUAAGACCAAAUCAAAUGUUUUGGCUAGCAAAUAAUUUUACAACCAAUGGAAAACUAAGAAUUAAAAAUCAGAGAGAGCAGAAAAUGAAAACCAAUACAUCAGCUAGCACAAUUAAAUGAUUUGGCCAAGUAGGUUCAAAUAAUUAUUCCAAUUUAAUUUUCAGGAAUAGGAAGGAUUUCUGAAUCUACUCCUAAAAAUUUUGUUUCCGAUGGUGGCCAAAUGGAUCAGUUGAUGACCUCAAUGCUUAUCAAGAAAUAUGCUACAUGCCUCUCAAAGUGCCCAUCAAACUAAGCUCUCCUCUUUGUUCUCCAUGCUGUAAAUAAUAUGGAUAUGUUUGAAAGUGGGAGCGGAAAAGACAUCAUCCACCAUGGAAACUAUAAGUAAGAAAUUGACUGAUGUUAAACCAAUUGGGGUGUUAACACAGAGAAGAUUUUACUUGAUGAAUACGAUUGCAUAAAAGUUCGAAUUAGAUAAAGCCACUCAACUUUCUCAGUGCAUUCAAAUGUGCACCGUAGUUUAGUUUUCACAGUCUUUAGUCGUCCAAUUAAAGAAGUUGGAAAAGGAUUGACAAAAUUUGAAAACUAAUAACAAAGUGACUAAAAAAAGGGACAAUAUGAUAGGUCCCAAUCAAAGUUAGCUAACAAUCACAAGAGUUUUCUGCUAUGGCAAGAAAACAAAGACUAAGAUAAAUUGAUUUAGUUGUCUGAAUGCUUUUUAUUAUGCUGGAGCCUUUACUUAUAAUACUAACAUAACAAACUCAGCCUACAAACACGGCUGUAAUCAAAAUACGUAAUUGAAAUAACACCUUUGCUACUUUUACCAAACACAAAGUUAAACAACAACUACUAAGGAUUUGAUCUUAUCCUUUAUUCCUGCACAAUCAUUAAAGCUGUCACGUGAACAACUUUGAUUCAUUAUUUUCACGUGAACCCAUGCAUGCAUGAACCAUGCCAGGCUAAAGCGAAAGUCUUCACGUCAGGCUAAAGCGAAAGUCUUCACGUCACGUACUUGGGAUUUGGCUUAUGCCCUCUGCUGGACUUGCGUGGCUCUAGUGAGGAAAUUAAUCCAAAUCAUGCAAGGCAUCAUAGUCUGGAAAGAAUGGAAUUGGACAAGAAUAAAGAUAUUAAAGUAUGGAAUUGGACAAGAAUAAAGAUAUUAAAGUAACAAAAGUUGAUAUUUUUAGCAAAUUGAAGUGGAAGAACUUUUCCCCCAACGAAACACAGCGAAACCGAAAGAGGGAAAAAAAAAAGAUAGGAUAACAAACAACUCUUUCCCUUUAUCAUCAUACUAUACAAUCUCUCCCAUUUCUUUGAUCCAAUUCUCUUCAUCUUGUCAUCGAAAUCUAAGUAUUUGAAAUCAAUAAUAAAACUUUAAAGCAAAGGAAUAAAGUGAAAUGAAAAAAGGGGGGGGUGUUAAAAUGUGAGGUGACACAAAUGAUCCAAAUCGAAUGGUGCAGCUGUUGUUGUCACGCACAUCACCUGAUGGAGUCGUCGGGAUGUCAAGGACUUAGUGGUCUGCUGACAUGUCCAAUCAUCUCGGAUUGCUCAUGUCUGGGCCUCCAAUUCCAAAAACAGUUGAAGCCAUUCCCUGCCAGUACUUAUUUCGUGGAAGAAUCGAGCCACCACCAGAACUCAUUUCCUUCAUAACUAAAGCCAAAAUCUUUUUUUAUCUUCGUUUAACUUUGGGCAAAAGGAGAUGCUUCUUCACAGCUUUAGAAAGAUGAAUUUCUGUUGGGUUUUGCUCAGGUGAAAGAGAUAACUAAGUGGAUGUUUCAUUUCGUGAAAAUACUUGUUUUUUUUUUGUCCACUGGUUAAUCCAAAGCACUGGUUAAUCGGUAUUGCAGCCAAUAUUUCUCAGAUAUUUUGAAUUAUUUUGAAUUUUCAAUAUGCUUUUACAUAUUUAUUCUUUUAUAUUAAUAUUAUACGUAUUUUUAUAUUAACGGUAGGGAGGUGUUUAUAAUUAUAUCAAUACUUUAUAUUUAAAUGUCAAUAACUCAAAUAUCAAGGGAGGUCCUUAAAAAUUGUCCAUGAAAUUAUUAACGCGUCAACCACUCGGCCGCCACGUCACAUUUUAAAAUUUUUAAUCAUUUAUUCCUUUUUUUUUUUAAUUUCGAAGUACUCCCUCUUUUUUUAAAUUACUUUUUUGGUUUUAAGAAUCUUGAUAUAUUUAUUGUUCAGGCAAAAAUAUUUUCAUCAACUCAUUGUAAUAUUUUUUUCCUUAUAUUUUGAAUGAAAAUAUGAAUAAUUUAAGGUUUUUAAAAAUAAAGAAUGUUAUAAUUUGUUUAGGGUUUUAAGGAUUAAUCCGAAAUUUAUCUUUUUUUUAAAAGUUAUUUCCUUAAUGAGAUUUUAAAAAAUUAGGUUUCGAAUUAAGGGGCUGCCACGUUUCACAAAUUAAUAGGCCGCCAAUCACAACACCUCUUGCAUUUUAUUUCUCUCCUCGAAUGAAAUGGAAUUGUGUUAUUCGUUUCACCCACUCCGAGAACAAUGGAUGUAAAAUCAGACAGUAGGAAUAGGAUAUUGCCACAAAUAAUGUCCAUCCACAUGGAAUGGAAUGGAUUGGAAUUUGGAUUGGAGUACUAAUUAAGGUAGAUACCUAAACGUUUUAAAAAGUUAAUAUGUGAAAAUAUCCAGAUGAAUCAUUUUGCUUUUGCUUCCUUAGCCUCUAUCAGUUUUGAUAAUUCGGCAUAGACCUGAUCCAUUUCUGCAUUAAUGUCAUCAAGUUCCUUCUUCAUCGAUUCAAUGGCAGCAUUGUUCUUUUCCUUAAGCUUUUCAAUCUUCUCCUUCUGGCGAUCCAUAUCUUCUUUCUUCUUCUUAAUCUGUUCAAAUUUUUCAAGCACUUUGCUCAUAUCUGUUAUGAAACCCUCCUCUUCGUGGCUUGGUUCUGCGUCCAUAAUUUCCCUCUCUUUUCUUUUAGCUGUUAAUAGAAUAAAUGGGGCAAAGUGUUAAUUUGUUAGUUUUGUAAACAAUUAAAAUAGUUAUAUAAAUAGAUAUACUGCAUGAAUUGGGAGUUACCAUUGUCCAGUGGGUUUGAAAUGGAUUUUAAAGCAAGCUAACUGUUUUUUCUCAUUCAUAUCAUUUUUCAUUUACAGAGAAGAUAUCUGAAUCUGAUCAAACUAUUUCAAACUAUAAAAAGUUCAAUUCAUGAAAACAUGAGUCAGGACAACAACACUAAUCACAAAUUAAAGUUCAUUAAAUAAGAAGAAAUUAAUUAAAGCAGCUGAUAAUCUAUUCAUUAAACUUAUUUAGUUAAAAAGGGAGAGAGAGGGAGAAUUUUAAGUUUUAACCUUGAUAAGAAGGGAUUCCUCAAGUUGAUGAUUGAUCAAAGGGAAGAUGGCCGUAGUGAAAUGAAUUUACUUUUUGACUCUUGAUUGACCAAUUAAUGUUGGACGUAUAAAUCUAUAAAUACCCUUCAGCUCACUUUGUGACUUGUGCGGUAGUUGGGGGCAGUGCAUGCAAACUACUUGUGAUACUUGUGGGGUUCUUCGUAUGCCAAAGAAAUAUUCAUGAGAUGAACAUGAAUGAAAAAUUCGGAAUGCAUGAAAAAAUGUACAAAAAAAUACAUAUCUCACUCUCACAUACAAUUUGAAAAGUAAUUAGCAAAUAGUAUAUCUUACUUUCACAUGCAAUUAUUAAAAGUUGUCUAAUAAAUAAAUCGUGUUCAUUUAGGGUCCGUUUGGAAUUGUUUUUGGUAAGCUUAAAAGUAAUUUUGAAAAUCUAAAAAGUAAUUUAGUGUUUGGAAAAAAAUAAUCAAAAUCACUUUUGUCAAAAUCAGCAUUUCCUACAGCUAAUAGGCUGAUAUUGAAAAGAAGAGAAUGAGCAGUUUUUAGAUUCUGAUUUUGAUAUUAAAAAAAAAUCAAAAUCACUUUUGUUAAAAUCAGCCUCUUUCACAACUGAUUUUGAAAAGUAGAGAACGACUAACUUUUAAAUUCUGAUUUUGAGAAUUAAUUUUAUCAUUUAAUACAAUUCCAUAAAUAUCCUUAAAAUUAUUACCUAAACCCAAAAUUAUCAUUAUUCAAAUUGGAAACAAAAUCAAUAUUUUAAUAAAUUUUUGUUAUAAUUCAUCAAUAUGAAUUUGUAGGCCAAAUUAUUAUUAAAUUUGUUUCACUAUAUUAUAAAUUUUUAAUUAUCAAUUAUUUUAAGACAAAAAAAUUAAAAUCAAUAUCUUAUAGAUUUUAUUUUUAGUUAAAAUUAUUAUAAUACACAACUAAAAAUAUUGUAUGUAAAUGUUUUUAUAUGUAUAAGUAAAUUUUAUCAUACAUUAUAUAUAUUUUAGUCAUUUAUUUUCUCUCCGCAGUUUAAUAAUGAAAUUUACCAAACAUUCAUAACUGUUUUCAAAACUUACGGUACUUUUGAAAAUAAAAUUUACUAAACACUUAACCGAUUCUCUUCACAUCUCAUUGUUUCUAUAAUACAGCUAGCGACAACUAUUUUAAAAGAUACAACAUUCCUAAAUUGGCCCUUAAUACAACCACAUUAACUUCAUUUUUUUUUUAAUCAAAUGUGAGGUUUCUCAGUUAUUAACGUAAUUUACUCUUUGUAAAUUUACAUUCAAAUACUCAUCUAUUGACAUGUGUAAAUAUAUAAACUGUAACACUAACAUAUCAUGUAAUUCACACGCAAGCCACUAAGCCUUUGUUGUAGCCAACGUAGUAGCCAAAUGGCCAAAUCCUCCCUCCAUGUUUAAAUGGCAAGUGUUUGGUAGAAAUAUCAAACUGUUUGAUGAAAUGACUCAAUGAAGGAUGUCUUGGCGGGAAAGCUACUAUUUGAAUUCUUCUGCAACAACAAGCUUACAGGAAGAGAGUUCUUAACGUUUCUUGAGGGCUGAGGAGGUUUGAAAAGAUCAAUGGCUUAGAUUAGAAGUUGAGAAUCAAGGAUUUUAUGUCAACCAGUGAAUAAAAUAAAAAGUUGUACACAACCAACCUUAUCAUCUUUUUAAUGGAAAGGGACAAAAAUGCAGGAUGGGUAUUCAUGACACAUAAUCCACAAAUUUUAGUUAGUAAAUAUAAAAUUGAAUAGCAAAAUGCCUAAUUUUUGUAAGCCAAAAUAAUUAUUGUUCUGUUGUUCUUCUAAUCAAAUGAAAGCUAGUCCUUUCACAAUAUAAAAUUUCCAUUCCACAAGGCCAAUGUGGUUUUACUGUAUAACUACCGAUGAAGCCAUUCAUUGAAAUCCAGAGAUAUAUGAUGUGUAUAUAAGUAGAAACAAUGGUUAAUAUACGGGGCCUUGGAUUAAAAUGGAAGCGAGCCCAAUAGUGAAAUAGUCAAUUCCAGGACAAAUUGUUUAGUGAAACUGACCAUCCUACACAAUUUGAAGGGCCAUAACUUCCAAUUGCAGCAAAAUUAUGUCAACAUCUAAGAAAAACCUAAAUAGCAAGUAGAAAAGUGUGAAAGAGAAAAAAAUAAUUCUACAAUACAGAUGACAAAAAAUAAAUCAGUCAUCUAACUUGUGAAGUUGUGAUGGCAGAUUUUCUUACCGACUGCCUAGGGAGAAGACGCCAGAGCUUCUAAUAAUCCCACCAUCUAAAGAAAUAGCUCCAUCACUUAUUAAGGGAAGAGCAAGUAACAUGUCAGCUCUUGUUCUAUACACUUGUAGACGAUAGUUGCACAAAACAAGUUUUUGCUGUCAAUAUUGAUCAUAUUCACAGCGUAGCCAAGAAAGCCAGGUGGACACUCCCCAGUCAUAUUCACAGCGUAGCCAAGAAAGCCAGGUGGACACUCCCCAGUGGGUAAUCGCGGCUUCCAAAGAUCAAGCCUCCUCUGUGGGUCAUCAACCACAAAUUCACCAGCAAAAGGUCUGGAAAAACGAAGUGUUCUCAGAAUGUUUAAACAUUGAAAGUUCUUAGA
This 18127-nucleotide long non-coding RNA is filed under the name Citrus x clementina. Its description in RNAcentral is "Citrus clementina (C. clementina) long non-coding RNA (CCLE_LNC002010)". The record is from RNAcentral. Lineage: Eukaryota; Viridiplantae; Streptophyta; Magnoliopsida; Sapindales; Rutaceae.